AAUCGCAGGUCAGCAUACUGCGGUGAAUACGUUCCCGGGUCUUGUACACACCGCCCGUCACACCAUGGGAGCCGGAAAUGCCCGAAGCCAGUGACCCAACCUUAGGGAGGGAGCUGUCGAAGGUGGAACCGGUAACUGGGGUGAAGUCGUAACAAGGUACC
RNAcentral lists this ribosomal RNA (161 nucleotides) under uncultured bacterium. RNAcentral's name for it is "partial 16S ribosomal RNA". It matches the Rfam family "Bacterial small subunit ribosomal RNA", at positions 1340 to 1500 of the family's 1533-position model. The record is from RNAcentral.